Molecule: microRNA precursor, 91 nt
Filed under: Megaselia scalaris
Lineage: Eukaryota; Metazoa; Arthropoda; Insecta; Diptera; Phoridae
Description: mir-133 microRNA precursor family
Rfam family: mir-133 microRNA precursor family
About the family: mir-133 was first experimentally characterised in mouse and homologues have since been discovered in several other species. The mature sequence is excised from the 3' arm of the hairpin.
Source: RNAcentral
AAUUCAACGCUGUAUGUAGCUGGCUGACUUCGGGUCAAAUUUAUUUUAAUUUCAUUUGGUCCCCUUCAACCAGCUGUAGCAGUGCUUGUAA